Molecule: ribosomal RNA, 432 nt
Filed under: uncultured bacterium
Lineage: Bacteria
Description: partial 16S ribosomal RNA
Rfam family: Bacterial small subunit ribosomal RNA
Source: RNAcentral
AACGAACGCUGGCGGCAUGCCUAACACAUGCAAGUCGAACGAGACCUUCGGGCCUAGUGGCGCACGGGUGCGUAACGCGUGGGAACCUGCCCUUAGGUUCGGAAUAACUCCCCGAAAGGGGUGCUAAUACCGGUUAAUGUCUUCGCACCAAAGAUUUAUCGCCUUGGGAUGGGCCCGCGUUGGAUUAGCUAGUUGGUAGGGUACAAGCCUACCAAGGCGACGAUCCAUAGGUGGUCUGAGAGGAUGAUCAGCGACACUGGGACAGGGACACGGCCCAGACUCCUACGGGAGGCAGCAGUGGUGAAUAUUGGACAAGGGGCGAAAGCCUGAUCAGCAAUGCCGCGGGAGUGAUGAAGGCCUUAGGGUUGUAAAGCUGUUUUACCCGGGAUGAUAAUGACAGUACCGGGAGAAUAAGCUCCGGCUAACUACGUG